This 463-nucleotide ribosomal RNA is filed under the name uncultured bacterium. RNAcentral describes it as "partial 16S ribosomal RNA". It matches the Rfam family "Bacterial small subunit ribosomal RNA", at positions 28 to 507 of the family's 1533-position model. The record is from RNAcentral.
GACGAACGCUGGCGGCGUGCUUAACACAUGCAAGUCGAACGGUGAACCUCUUCGGAGGGGAUCAGUGGCGAACGGGUGAGUAACACGUAGGCAACCUGCCCCCGGCUCUGGGAUAACUCCAAGAAAUUGGGGCUAAUACCGGAUGUUCACCGCUUCCCGCAUGGGUGGUGGUGGAAAGGGUUUCCGGCUGGGGAUGGGCCCGCGGCCUAUCAGCUUGUUGGUGGGGUAGUGGCCUACCAAGGCGACGACGGGUAGCCGGCCUGAGAGGGUGACCGGCCACACUGGGACUGAGACACGGCCCAGACUCCUACGGGAGGCAGCAGUGGGGAAUAUUGCGCAAUGGGCGGAAGCCUGACGCAGCGACGCCGCGUGGGGGAUGACGGCCUUCGGGUUGUAAACCUCUUUCAGCAGGGACGAAGCGCAAGUGACGGUACCUGCAGAAGAAGCACCGGCCAACUACGUG